ACUCCUACGGGAGGCAGCAGUAGGGAAUCUUCCGCAAUGGACGCAAGUCUGACGGAGCAACGCCGCGUGUGUGAAGAAGGUUUUCGGAUCGUAAAGCACUGUUAUUAGAGAAGAACAGCCGAUAGAGUAACUGUUAUCGGUUUGACGGUAUCUAACCAGAAAGUGACGGCUAACUACGUGCCAGCAGCCGCGGUAAUACGUAGGUCACAAGCGUUGUCCGGAUUUAUUGGGCGUAAAGGGAGCGCAGGCGGUUUGUUAAGUCUGAUGUGAAAGCCCACGGCUCAACCGUGGAACGGCAUUGGAAACUGGCAAACUUGAGUAUAGAAGAGGAAAGUGGAAUUCCAUGUGUAGCGGUGAAAUGCGUAGAUAUAUGGAGGAACGCCAGUGGCGAAGGCGACUUUCUGGUCUAUAACUGACGCUGAGGCUCGAAAGCGUGGGGAGCGAACAGGAUUAGAUACCCUGGUAGUCCACGCCGUAAACGAUGAGUGUUAAGUGUUGGGGGGCUUCCACCCCUCAGUGCUGGCGUUAACGCAAUAAACACUCCGCCUGGGGAGUACGACCGCAAGGUUGAAACUUAAAGGAAUUGACGG
Molecule: ribosomal RNA, 590 nt
Filed under: uncultured bacterium
Lineage: Bacteria
Description: bacterial SSU rRNA
Rfam family: Bacterial small subunit ribosomal RNA
Source: RNAcentral